UCCACAGUCAAAGGACCAAUAUUGUGGUA
This 29-nucleotide non-coding RNA is filed under the name Rattus norvegicus (Norway rat). The record is from RNAcentral. Lineage: Eukaryota; Metazoa; Chordata; Mammalia; Rodentia; Muridae.